GAAGCACCGGCCAACUACGUGCCAGCAGCCGCGGUAAUACGUAGGGUGCAAGCGUUGUCCGGAAUUAUUGGGCGUAAAGAGCUCGUAGGCGGUCUGUCGCGUCGGCUGUGAAAACUCGGGGCUCAACCCCGAGCCUGCAGAAGAGGAGAGUGGAACUCCAUGUGUAGCGGUGGAAUGCGUAGAUAUAUGGAAGAAC
RNAcentral lists this ribosomal RNA (196 nucleotides) under uncultured Actinomycetes bacterium. Its description in RNAcentral is "uncultured actinobacterium partial 16S ribosomal RNA". It matches the Rfam family "Bacterial small subunit ribosomal RNA", at positions 487 to 707 of the family's 1533-position model. Lineage: Bacteria; Bacillati; Actinomycetota; Actinomycetes. The record is from RNAcentral.